RNAcentral lists this ribosomal RNA (253 nucleotides) under uncultured bacterium. Its description in RNAcentral is "partial 16S ribosomal RNA". It matches the Rfam family "Bacterial small subunit ribosomal RNA", at positions 524 to 776 of the family's 1533-position model. The record is from RNAcentral.
UACGAAGGGGGCUAGCGUUGCUCGGAAUCACUGGGCGUAAAGCGCACGUAGGCGGCCAUUUAAGUCGGGGGUGAAAGCCUGUGGCUCAACCACAGAAUUGCCUUCGAUACUGGAUGGCUUGAGACCGGAAGAGGUAAGUGGAACUGCGAGUGUAGAGGUGAAAUUCGUAGAUAUUCGCAAGAACACCAGUGGCGAAGGCGGCUUACUGGUCCGGAUCUGACGCUGAGGCGCGAAAGCGUGGGGAGCAAACAGG